RNAcentral lists this long non-coding RNA (741 nucleotides) under Solanum tuberosum (potato). Its description in RNAcentral is "long non-coding RNA (STUB_LNC000706)". Lineage: Eukaryota; Viridiplantae; Streptophyta; Magnoliopsida; Solanales; Solanaceae. The record is from RNAcentral.
GGAAUAUUGUGCUAAGUGUGUCAGAUUGAUUGCCUUCGUAAUUGAUGCUCACGUGUUCAGUAAACCACUUACGCACCAUAAAUCGGACUUGUUUUGCAGCCAGACUCUGCUGAGGCUCGUAAUGAUCGACAAGCUGCCUUGCAUCAUAUUCAGAGGAGAAAACAGUUACAGACAUCAGGUUUGAGCAUGAACCAACACCGUUUUUCUGUAGUGGACCAAACUGAGAGCACUUGAAGGUUUGAAAACGUAGGGUUAAUCUCAUUACCGAUGAUGCUUUGUUCCGAUAAAAUCCUGAGGCUAAGGAAUAUCUUGUCACAUUUGACUUCGAGUCAAGGUUUCAAAAUGCUGGUUCAGCUAUAGAAAGAGGUGUAGGUGUGCAUAUCAGUGAGGAGAGAAAAUAGCCAGAAGGGUUGACAAUGAUAAAACAUGAUGCCUGGGCACUGAAAUGUCUACUUGUAAUAUAGAUGAUCCUCUAUUGCCUCUAACAUAGAGUUACUUCAUACUUAUGUUUGUUUGAUUAUUCUGAGUAGUAAUAUGUAUGUAUGUAUAUAUAUCUACACGUUCUGGUGUGCAAAUCAAGUGAAUGACGUUUUUUACGUUCAAAAAGUGCAUCUGAUUUGUUUUUUUACCUUAGAGGUGAACGAUCAAAGGUGUAAAAUAUACUUUUUAAAUGGAGCAGUCUGAAUGCUUGUUGGCGUAGAGUUAAGUGAAGCAUCAACAUAAAAUAAGACUGAUAGCUCC